RNAcentral lists this long non-coding RNA (2337 nucleotides) under Triticum aestivum (bread wheat). Its description in RNAcentral is "long non-coding RNA (TAES_LNC020875)". The record is from RNAcentral. Lineage: Eukaryota; Viridiplantae; Streptophyta; Magnoliopsida; Poales; Poaceae.
GAUCUUACAAGAUGGCUUACAAAUCUAGGUAUCAAACAGAAUUUCGGUAAUAUAUAUUAUGUAUACGGUACUUGGAAGGGAUGCUUACCAGGUAAAUACCACUUAAAAUCUAGGUCGAGUAACUAUCCAGUUGCAGAUUCACUGCAAGUUUGUGCGACAGAUAUACAUACAUAUAUAUAUAUAGAUCAACUAGGAUUUAGGUUUAACUCUAUGGUACAAUUAACUAAGGAGAAGAGGGUAGAUUGUACUACCUGAUUGCUUGUUGUACAUCCGAAAGAGAUUCAGUUGCUCUGAAUAUUCUGAUUUGCCACAUGGUCGCCAGUGUGAAUAGCGCCUUCAUGAGCGAAUCUUUUAAUGACGUAAUUACCAUCCAGCCAUUCGGCCUUUCCAACGAACAACAUACAAGCUUUGUUCUCUGAAGUUUAAGAAUAAUGCAACCAUCUUGCCUUUCCAAAGAAUAACAUAUAUAUUUUUAACCUUAAUAGUGCAGCCAGCUAGUUGUAGUGCACUUAUCUCUAAGCCCAGCUCCUCUUUAAUCCAUAAACUUAUCCGUAACCAAAGGCUAGAUGUAUAUUCAAUGUAAUUCUAUUCAUUGAGUUGAGUUUCUUACUUCGGUAUGGCCUGGGGUAUAGUAAGUUCCAUUUCAAUGUUCCAGGGACCACUUCCAGUAAGUUUCCACUCGACAUCAGUAGUAAUGUCCACUACCUGUAUCAGCAUGGUUAUAGAAGUAGAUAAUCAGGGCAAAUAUCAUAAGCAAAUUACAACUUUAGAAUCUCUGAAUUCUAAUAGUUUUCUAAUAUCCUUCAAAACAUGAUGUGUGAGCGCUCUUUAGGUAUUCCAGUAAGUUUCUUUCUACAAGUGUUCUUACAUCUCCUGAAUGGAUGAUUCUCUUUGCAUUUCGGCCGCUCGGCCCACUUCCGAUGAUCCACUACAUCAUCAUUGUUUGGUAACUGGUUAGAUACUCUUCAAUCUCCUUAUACUGAAGCAGUUAUGAUUGAGUAGUACAUUGUUAUCAUUCUCAACAACUUCAUUCAUGACACCUUUGAUACUCAUGUAUGAGAAAGAACUUUCAGCGAUCAAGUUACUUUAUUUGACUUCAUGUUGUUCAGGAGGGGAGGCCGCAAGGCGGGACAGCCAGCAGCGGCAUUCUGUUCGGGGAUGUGUGGAUCUGGUGAUGCUGGAGCGUGGUAACAAGAAACAUCAUAUCCGCAAAGGCGUUUCAAAUAGCCAAUUUACCUUUCUCCCUAAACGUUUCUUGCUCUGCUGUCAGUAUCACUGGUCUUGGGGUUUAGAUUUUGUCAAUAUCAAAAUUUGGGUACUUACCAGCAAACGAGUUGUUGAUCUAUUUACUUAGUCAAGUUCAUUUCUGCUAUGUUCUUCAGUCAAGCUUUAACUUCUAGCCUUGAUUAAAUGGCAAUGAUAUUCUCCAAAACCUACUGAUGUUAGAAAUCCUGCUACCCAACAGGAUGGUCUGCCAAGUGAUGUGAGCACUACUCAGUGUGUGGCAGACGUUCAUUAGGAUUGCAAACAAGAUUUGAGAUGUAGGUGUUGGUCAAAUUUUGGAAAAUUAUGGGUCUGCAGGUACAAAAUUACAUGUAGGAAAUUUUACGGUUUUCUGUGAUUAAAGAUUCAAGCAUGAAUGUGAAUAUAGUUCCAAGGUUUUUUUGCUAACAUGUUUUCUUAUAUUUACUUCUCUUUGUAUGAUAUUGGAAUUUAUAUGCUUACUUAACUGCUCAAAGAUAUCUGUUUUGUUUGUCGAUUGGAAGUUACCACAUUAAGCUUGAGUCCAUGUGAAUUGACACACUAUUUGGAACAAAAUAAAACUUAGUACUGUACUACAGUUUGGUGGUUAAAUUACUCCUUACCUCGACAUUCUAAUAAUCUGUAAUAAGGAUAGUUCGCAUUGGUCAUGCAAGAUCACUUGCGGGAAAUUGAUGGCUUGUUGUUGUUGUGCUUCACAAUUUCUGUUGUUUCUAUUUAUUUUACACUUUUUUAUUUACUGCAAUUUGCAAAACAGAAGUACUAGCAUAACUGGAAUUUCUGUUUGUGUUUUUUACAGAGGGAACAUAGUCUGAUGGGACAGCUCCUAAAUCAAUGUCACAUAAGGCAACAACAUAUUUGGAGGAGUUGAAGGAGUUGAGAUGAGUUGAUCACAUCCUCAUGUGUCUUUGCAUGUUGCAACAGGGGCGGUGUACUUUUUUUAGAUAGAAGAACUUAUGGGGCACAUCAGAUGUACUGACCACUCCUUAGUCCCAAGAACAGGAGUAACAAUUUUCUCAAGUUCUGUUGUUGUAUUGUACUAGAAGUAUGUUCAUCAAACUGCCUUAUCAACCAUUU